RNAcentral lists this ribosomal RNA (233 nucleotides) under uncultured bacterium. RNAcentral describes it as "partial 16S ribosomal RNA". It matches the Rfam family "Bacterial small subunit ribosomal RNA", at positions 15 to 245 of the family's 1533-position model. The record is from RNAcentral.
GAUCCUGGCUCAGGAUGAACGCUGGCGGCGUGCAUAACACAUUCAAGUCGAACGGACGACCCGGAGCUUGCUCCGGGAAGUUAGUGGCGGACGGGUGAGUAACGCGUGAGCAACCUGCCUGUGUGAGCGGAAUAACGUCCGGAAACAGACGCUAAUACCGCAUGACUCACGGACUUCGCAUGGAGACCGUGGCAAAGAUUUAUCGCACACAGAUGGGCUCGCGUCCGAUUAGG